CAGGGUGCCUGGGCAAUCGCGAUAUACCUCUUCUGAUGGGUAUGUCGAGGAAAGUCCGGGCUCCACAGCACAGCAUGGUGGAUAACAUCCACUCGGGGUAACCCGCAGGCUAGUGCCACAGAAAGUAAACCGCCUCAUCAAGGUAAGGGUGAAAGGGUGGUGUAAGAGACCACCAGUGGGUGCGGUGACGUGCCCAGCUAGGUAAACCCCAUGCCGGAGCAAGGCCAAACAGAACACGCCAUGAUAGGGUAGUGCGCCCGAGCCUGAGGCGCGUGUUCGGGUAGGCUGCUUGAUGCUUAUGGCAACAUAAGCCCUAGAUAGAUGAUUGCCUCAGGUACAGAGCUUUCAUCGGUACCGAUGACAGAACCCGGCUUAUAGGGCACCCUGCUUC
Molecule: RNase P RNA, 391 nt
Filed under: Rothia sp. HMSC036D11
Lineage: Bacteria; Bacillati; Actinomycetota; Actinomycetes; Micrococcales; Micrococcaceae
Description: RNase P RNA component class A
Rfam family: Bacterial RNase P class A
About the family: Ribonuclease P (RNase P) is a ubiquitous endoribonuclease, found in archaea, bacteria and eukarya as well as chloroplasts and mitochondria. Its best characterised activity is the generation of mature 5'-ends of tRNAs by cleaving the 5'-leader elements of precursor-tRNAs.
Source: RNAcentral